GUGUACGGCCAUGCCACCCUGAACAAGCCCGAUCCCGUCUGAUCUCGGAAGCUAAGCAGGGUCGGGCCUGGUUAGUACUUGGAUGGGAGACCACCUAGGAAAACCAGGUGCUGUAGGCG
Non-coding RNA from Pteropus alecto (black flying fox), 119 nucleotides. Lineage: Eukaryota; Metazoa; Chordata; Mammalia; Chiroptera; Pteropodidae. The record is from Rfam.